Molecule: long non-coding RNA, 426 nt
Organism: Neopelma chrysocephalum (saffron-crested tyrant-manakin)
Lineage: Eukaryota; Metazoa; Chordata; Aves; Passeriformes; Pipridae
Exons: 3
Source: RefSeq, a predicted model, not a curated record
CUGCUGCUGGGUGAUGCUGAUAGUGCUGGGUUGAUGAUUGAACUUAAUGAUUUUAAAGGUCUCUUCCAACCUUGAUGAUUCUAUGAUUCUAUAACAGAGAUCAUCCAAUCUACAGACCCUUGGAUAUGGACUGUAACCACAAAGGGCAGACUACAUAGAUUAGGACUUUUAAUUCAGAUGAUAGCCAUCUAUAAAACUGUGGGUGGCAAAGUGAGGGUGACUUCUCUUUAUCUACUCUAACACAAAAGCUGAGAGGCAUCAAACAGAACUAGGAGGUGGCAGAUUCAGAAUAAAGCAGAGGCGAUGCUGCAUCACACCGUGAAAAUGUGGGAUUUCUUGCCACAAACACUGUGGUAGUAUUUGAAAGAUGGAUAAUUAUCUACUUGCCAUGCAUUUAUACUUCUCUUGAGAGAAGUAUUGUCAACU